GGGGCCUUCGGGCCCCGAGUAAAGCGGCGGACGGGUGCGUAACACGUGGGUAACCCACCCUUCGGUUCGGGACAACAUUCCGAAAGGAGUGCUAAUCCCGGAUCCGUUCGACUCCCGGCGGGGAGUCGAGGAAAGGCGGCCUCUCCUUGGAAGCUGUCGCCGAAGGUCGGGCCCGCGGCCCAUCAGGUAGUUGGUGAGGUAAUGGCUCACCAAGCCUAUGACGGGUAGCUGGUCUUAGAGGAUGGUCAGCCACACUGGGACUGAGACACGGCCCAGACUCCUACGGGAGGCAGCAGUGGGGAAUCUUGGACAAUGGGGGCAACCCUGAUCCAGCGACGCCGCGUGAGUGAUGAAGGCCUUCGGGUCGUAAAGCUCUGUCGGGAGGGACGAUGGGUCCACGGAAAUAAUACUCCGUGAACCUGACGGUACCUCGCAAGAAAGCACCGGCUAACUCCGUGCCAGCAGCCGCGGUAAUACGGAGGGUGCAAGCGUUGUUCGGAAUCACUGGGCGUAAAGCGCGUGUAGGCGGUUCGUUAAGUCAGGUGUGAAAUCCCCCAGCUUAACUGGGGAAUUGCGCCUGAAACUGGCGGGCUUGAGUGUCGGAGAGGGAAGGGGAACUCCCGGUGUAGAGGUGAAAUUCGUAGAUAUCGGGAAGAACACCGGUGGCGAA
This 670-nucleotide ribosomal RNA is filed under the name uncultured Pseudomonadota bacterium. RNAcentral's name for it is "bacterial SSU rRNA". It matches the Rfam family "Bacterial small subunit ribosomal RNA", at positions 73 to 719 of the family's 1533-position model. Lineage: Bacteria; Pseudomonadati; Pseudomonadota. The record is from RNAcentral.